Molecule: transfer RNA, 74 nt
Filed under: Anguilla anguilla (European eel)
Lineage: Eukaryota; Metazoa; Chordata; Actinopteri; Anguilliformes; Anguillidae
Description: tRNA-OTHER
Source: RNAcentral
GUUUCCGUAGUGCAGUGGUUAUCACGUUCGCCUCCACACGCGAAAGGUCCGUAGUGCGAAACUGGGCGGAAACA